This is a long non-coding RNA of Ictalurus punctatus (channel catfish), 495 nucleotides long. NCBI's taxonomy places the organism in Eukaryota, Metazoa, Chordata, Actinopteri, Siluriformes, Ictaluridae. The record is from Ensembl.
GUGUAAUUGAGUAUUGUGUAGGUGUGUAUUGUGUAAUUGAGUAUUGUGUAAAUGAGUAUUGUGUAGGUGUGUAUUGUGUAAAUGAGUAUUGUGUAGGUGUGUAUUGUGUAAAUGAGUAUUGUGUAGGUGUGUAUUGUGUAAUUGAGUUGUGUUGGUGUGUAUUGUGUAAAUGAGUAUUGUGUAGGUGUGUAUUGUGUAAUUGAGUAUUGUGUAGAUUUGUAUUGUGUUUUCAAAUAUUGCUUAGUUGAGUGUUCUGUAGGUGUGUAUUGUGUAAUUGAGUUCUGUAGGUGUGUAUUGUGUAAUUGAGUAUUGUGUUGGUGUAUUGUUUAGUUGUCGAGUACUGUGUAGUUGUGUGUUGUGUCCGAGUAUUGUGUAAUUAAAUAUUUUGUAGGUGUGUAUUGUGUUGUCGAGUAUUGCUUAGUGGAGUAUUGUGUGGUUUUGUAUCGUGUUCUCGAGCAAUUGUGUAAUGGAUUAUUGCAUAGUUGAGUGCUGUGU